Molecule: long non-coding RNA, 1921 nt
Organism: Gouania willdenowi (blunt-snouted clingfish)
Lineage: Eukaryota; Metazoa; Chordata; Actinopteri; Blenniiformes; Gobiesocidae
Source: Ensembl
CAGGUAUACAGAUUUUUGCUUUUUCAAUCAACAGAGGUAAUGCACACUUAUACAGCUGAUUGGAAUAUUUAGUUUAAACUUUAAUAACUGCCAUAUUUAUUCAAAUAUUUGUUUUUUAUUAGCUGCUGGUGUGAAGAUGGCCAUGUUGCCCAGCCUCACUAAGGAGGAUUUGCGAGACCUGUUUCCUGGGUCAGAAAACUUUUUAAGAAGAAGACACAUUUGGCAACUUGUUCAUGUGGAUAUGGAGAGUCAGAAAUUGGAUCGCCCCGCUCUUGACACUUCUGUUAUAGACAGCCCAUCUACGCCUUUGUUUUCCUCCUCCUCUGACAGCAACAUCAGCUCUCCAACACCCUUCAAUUCUCCAAAACCUAAACACAAAGAUUGUUCUGGCGCCACUAAAAAGCUUCGGCUCAUUAGUCCAGAGUAUGUCAUAUACACUGACACAGAACUAGAACUAGCAAGAAGUGCUUACUUUGAAAAGCAGCGUGCUGGACAAGAUGAAGACUACACCAUGCCAAAAGACUUGCGCUGUAGACUCAUUAGGAAUACAGUAACAGGCAUGAUUGCUAUGAAAAGAGCGUCCGAGGAUGAUUUUAAGUACCCAGGCUCCCGUGAACUGACUGCCAUGGCUAAGCGUCUAGUAGAAUACUACCCAAUGCUGUGAGACAAGUCUACGUCCAAUACACCUGAAUGGGAAAUGGUGAAGAAGCAGUUGUUGAAAAGGGUUCAGAAUGUGACAACUCCAAAAAAGAAGCAAGGUCCAACCCCAUCAAGAAAAGGACCUAGAAGCCUAAAAUUCCAGAGCAGCCAGGCGACGUGCACUGAAGAGAGUGAUGAACCUUUCUCCUCCCCUGCUUCAGUCUCUUCAGCUGCUUCAUCAGUCGCCUCGUCGUCUUCCUCCACUGUGAUCCUAGAGAAGUCAACUCCUUCUACAAGUACUUCCCAAGAGGUGGAUCUCUUUAGUGCUAUAGAGAGCCCACAGAGCCAAGCGAGACACUAUAAAACUCUGCAGGAUUUGUACAAAACUAAGAACAAACCCAACAAGGAAGAUGUAUCCCAGCUGCUGGAAUUGGAGUUCCAAUCUAGACGAGCUUUCAUUGACUCUGAUGUGAUGAAGGAACAGGACAGGCCUAUGAAGAUACUGCAGGCUUAUCCAUGUUUUAAAGAACUUGGCCAUAUCAUCGAUGAACUCCAGCGAAUCCUUGAUAAAGGAAACCCCUUCUUCACAAUGGAGCUGAAGAAACGUUGGCUGAGAUUUUUUAACCAGGCACAGUUUUAUGGGGUGUUCAAAAAAAUCAUAGGACCACCACUGCAGGACCAAGUAAAGAAUGCACUUGCUGUCCUGAAAGUACUGCCUCAGAUGUUCCCUUCGCAUGUAGCUCUGCCGAAGAGGUUGGGACACCCAAGUGAUGCUUUGAUUCACAUUUUGAAGUCAGCAGAGGACCCCAACACUUACCUUCAAUCAAGACCCUUGGUCAGCCCUGUGGUGAUUGUCUGUGAGACAAACUGCAUCCUGGUCAUUGGAACAGUUCCUCUGCUGACUUUCCCCAAAGAAGACCUCAGUGAAAGCGUGAUGUAUCUUCUUGGCUGUUAUUACACCUUUCACCUCACAUAUCCCAAGUGCAUUGCUACCCUCCUGUCUGUGCUACAGACAGAGGUUUUGUUAGAUGCCAUCCAUGAGAAGGACAUGACUACUUCCUACAAAAAAUCUAUGGCUGAAUGGAGAAAGUUUCAUGAUUAAGACAGUUUAAACAUCAGUUUUAGUUUAAGUAGUUCAGCAGCAUUAAGUCCCUCCUUUUAAAAUGUGGCUCCUGUUCAAUGAUGUUAAACUACAGUCGUGUGGGGCUAUUGGUUAUUGCUCUGGUUUGUGGUCUUGACAUUGUGAUUUUUGCACAAUAAAAGUGUAGAAAGAUAUGUCUCA